GAUGGCAUGGGAAAAUGUGUCAGCUGAAGAGGUGUGGAGGGGAAAGAGAAAGAGAGAGUGCAGGCUCAGUCAGAAAGACACAAACAGAAACCAAAGACAGAGAAAGAAAAGGCCAAUGCAUGCAGAAGGGUAAUAGCAGAGUCCUGCAAGAAACCACGACAUCAUCAAGUCAUAAGAGAUGCAAGUAUGAAAACAACAUAACUGAAGCCAAAUUUGCUAUAGCAGGGAACAUUGCCCAUGCUAAAUAAUCUAUACUCAGUUGAAAAAUUUGCCAAGAAGGCAGUUGCCCAGAAUACCACAAUGCAAAAUUCCAGUGGCUAAUAAAAAAAAAUUCAAAUGCUGUGCCACAGUACAGAGAGAUCUGUCUUCCUAAUCAGUACUGAUAUUGCAAACAAGAUGGGAAAUGACCUUGGGAAUUCUCUAGCAUGCAAUCUAGCUCUUGAUGCAAUCACGGUCAUGUGAGAUAAAUCUCAAUGCAAUCUUUGUAUGAUGUAUUUCAGCAGAUAUAAUUGUGAAAGAAGAAAUGUUGGAUUUAAUGGCAGUUUUCUGUCUUAUUUUUUUUCA
Long non-coding RNA from Hemicordylus capensis (graceful crag lizard), 564 nucleotides. RefSeq lists it as uncharacterized. The record is from RefSeq and is a predicted model, not a curated record. The transcript is spliced from 2 exons. Lineage: Eukaryota; Metazoa; Chordata; Lepidosauria; Squamata; Cordylidae.